GAAUUUGUGGCGCAAUGGUAGCGCAUCUGACUCUGUCAGAAGGUUGCGUGUUCGAUUCACGUCUGAUUCU
Molecule: non-coding RNA, 70 nt
Organism: Papaver somniferum (opium poppy)
Lineage: Eukaryota; Viridiplantae; Streptophyta; Magnoliopsida; Ranunculales; Papaveraceae
Source: the annotation of a RefSeq genome assembly